Molecule: ribosomal RNA, 496 nt
Filed under: uncultured bacterium
Lineage: Bacteria
Description: partial 16S ribosomal RNA
Rfam family: Bacterial small subunit ribosomal RNA
Source: RNAcentral
GAUGAACGCUGGCGGCGUGCCUAAUACAUGCAAGUCGAGCGAACAGACGAGGAGCUUGCUCCUCUGACGUUAGCGGCGGACGGGUGAGUAACACGUGGAUAACCUACCUAUAAGACUGGGAUAACUUCGGGAAACCGGAGCUAAUACCGGAUAAUAUAUUGAACCGCAUGGUUCAAUAGUGAAAGACGGUUUUGCUGUCACUUAUAGAUGGAUCCGCGCCGCAUUAGCUAGUUGGUAAGGUAACGGCUUACCAAGGCAACGAUGCGUAGCCGACCUGAGAGGGUGAUCGGCCACACUGGAACUGAGACACGGUCCAGCCUCCACGGGAGGCAGCAGUAGGGAAUCUUCCGCAAUGGGCGAAAGCUUGACGGAGCAACGCCGCGUGAGUGAUGAAGGUCUUCGGAUCGUAAAACUCUGUUAUUAGGGAAGAACAAAUGUGUAAGUAACUAUGCACGUCUUGACGGUACCUAAUCAGAAAGCCACGGCUAACUACGUG